UGAGGAAUAUUGGUCAAUGGGCGCGAGCCUGAACCAGCCAAGUCGCGUGAGGGAAUAAGGCCCUAUGGGUUGUAAACCUCUUUUGUCAGGGAGCAAUAGAAGGUCGUGACCUUCGAUGAGAGUACCUGAAGAAAAAGCAUCGGCUAACUCCGUGCCAGCAGCCGCGGUAAUACGGAGGAUGCGAGCGUUAUCCGGAUUUAUUGGGUUUAAAGGGUGCGUAGGCGGGCUGUUAAGUCAGCGGUAAAAUUGUGGAGCUUAACUCCAUCGAGCCGUUGAAACUGGCGACCUUGAGUGAGUGAGAGGUAUGCGGAAUGUGUGGUGUAGCGGUGAAAUGCAUAGAUAUCACGCAGAACUCCAAUUGCGAAGGCAGCAUACCGGUGCUCAACUGACGCUGAGGCACGAAAGCGUGGGGAUCAAACAGG
RNAcentral lists this ribosomal RNA (422 nucleotides) under uncultured bacterium. RNAcentral describes it as "bacterial SSU rRNA". It matches the Rfam family "Bacterial small subunit ribosomal RNA", at positions 355 to 776 of the family's 1533-position model. The record is from RNAcentral.